This 568-nucleotide ribosomal RNA is filed under the name Dechloromonas sp. S5. Its description in RNAcentral is "bacterial SSU rRNA". It matches the Rfam family "Bacterial small subunit ribosomal RNA", at positions 312 to 874 of the family's 1533-position model. The record is from RNAcentral. Lineage: Bacteria; Pseudomonadati; Pseudomonadota; Betaproteobacteria; Rhodocyclales; Azonexaceae.
AAACGACCGGAUCCAUUGGUUUCCUGACAGGAGGGCCGCAAGUUGCGUAAUGUUGGGACAAUGGUGGGCAAAACCUGAUCCAGCGAUGCCGGCGAAUGAAGCAAGCCUUGCGGUUGUAAAGUUGUCUCGGCGGGGAGAAAUUGCCACAAGUUAAUACCCUGUGUGGAUGACGGUACCGGAAUAAGAGCACCGGCUAACUACGUGCCAGCAGCCGCGGUAAUACGUAGGGUGCGAGCGUUUAUCGGAAUAUCUGGCGUAAAGCGUGCGCAGGCGGUUUGGAUACACGCGUGAAUCCCCGGGCUCAACCUGGGAACUGCGCUUGUGACUGCUAAGCUAGAGUACGGCAGAGGGGGGUGGAAUUCCACGUGUAGCAGUGAAAGGGGUAGAGAUGUGGAGGAACACCGAUGGCGAAGGCAGCCCCCUGGGCCGAUACUGACGCUCAUGCACGAAAGAGUGGGUAGCAAACAGGAUUAGAUACCCUGGUAGUCCACGCCCUAAACGAUGUCAACUAGGUGUUGGGAGGGUAAAACCUUUUAGUACCGGAGCUAACGCGUGAAGUUGACCGCUU